Molecule: ribosomal RNA, 406 nt
Filed under: uncultured bacterium
Lineage: Bacteria
Description: partial 16S ribosomal RNA
Rfam family: Bacterial small subunit ribosomal RNA
Source: RNAcentral
AUUGAACGCUGGCGGCAGGCCUAACACAUGCAAGUCGAGCGAGCGGCGGACGGGUGAGUAAUGUCUGGGAAACUGCCUGAUGGAGGGGGAUAACUACUGGAAACGGUAGCUAAUACCGCAUACCAUCGGAUGUGCCCAGAUGGGAUUAGCUAGUAGGUGGGGUAAAGGCUCACCUAGGCGACGAUCCCUAGCUGGUCUGAGAGGAUGACCAGCCACACUGGACCGGGGACACGGUCCAGACUCCUACGGGAGGCAGCAGUGGGGAAUAGUGCACAAUGGGCGCAAGCCUGAUGCAGCCAUGCCGCGUGUAUGAAGAGGGCCUUCGGGUUGUAAAGUACUUUCAGCGAGGAGGCGUUACUCGCAGAAGAAGCACCGGCUAACUCCGUGCCAGCCGCCGCGGUAAUAC